GCUUUUAAAGGAUAACAGCCAUCCACUGGCCUUAGGAGCCACCUAUCUUGGUGCAAUUCCAAGUAAAAGCA
Molecule: transfer RNA, 71 nt
Filed under: Varanus salvator (water monitor)
Lineage: Eukaryota; Metazoa; Chordata; Lepidosauria; Squamata; Varanidae
Also listed under: 1 other name
Description: tRNA-Leu
Rfam family: tRNA
About the family: Transfer RNA (tRNA) molecules are approximately 80 nucleotides in length. Their secondary structure includes four short double-helical elements and three loops (D, anti-codon, and T loops).
Source: RNAcentral